Molecule: ribosomal RNA, 2408 nt
Filed under: Triticum aestivum (bread wheat)
Lineage: Eukaryota; Viridiplantae; Streptophyta; Magnoliopsida; Poales; Poaceae
Description: partial small subunit ribosomal RNA
Source: RNAcentral
GAAAAUGCCCGCAUCGUCAACACGGCAGCGUAAACGGCUGCCAAACCUGCACUCCCUCCAUUCUGGAGAAGCGCGCCGCCGCCGGGCUACAAUCAUCGCUGAGACCGAAAUUAGAAGAUUCCGAGGGAUCUAGCCACAAAAGGCUAAGCGCCAUCCCAGAGGAAGAGUAUGAGAGCGCGGCACCUACGGCCCAGAAAUCCCAGAAUCUACCAAGAGCGAGCUUGCAAGGCGGCCAGACGCGCACCAAAUCGGCGCCCGCUCGCUUCACGGGAUCGAUCCCGAUCGAUUUCUAUGGCGCUCCGCGGGAUUCGCGGCGCUUCCUUCUCCCGUUCUUGAUCAGUUGUUGAUUGGAAGAAAACUUGGGAAUGCAGAAAGAUGAGCUUGCGUAACAGCAAACACUUACUUUGCGCAAACAAGAUCAGAGCUUCGUUCAAGCUCAUGCUGUGGGGCUCUCAUGAUAAUGUGCUGCAUACUGGUACUGUUCCUCCUCUCCGUGGUGUGAAGCACAGUAUACCGAAGGGGUCAGUAUUUGUUGAUAAUCACAUUUGUGAAGACAGUUAACAUCUGCUCCACUCAUGAGGUAUACAGUCUAGAUACUGCUAUAUAAGCGGUGUGUGGUGUUCGUUUGUUUUACUCCAUUCAGAUAGCUUGAUAUGAUGGAUGAGAGGAGGACUAUCUUGAUGGGCCGUUAUGAAAUCGGGAAGCAAUUGGGACAAGGAACUUUUGCGAAGGUCUAUUAUGCCCGAAGUCUUGCAACUGGCCAAGCUGUUGCUAUAAAGAUGAUCAACAAAGAUAAGGUUACGAAGGUUGGACUUAUGGAGCAGAUAAAGAGGGAGAUUUCAGUAAUGAGAUUGGUGAAGCACCCAAAUGUCCUGCAGCUUUUUGAGGUUAUGGCUACCAAGAGCAAGAUUUAUUUUGUAUUGGAGUAUGCUAAAGGUGGUGAGCUUUUCAACAAGAUAGUAAAGGAGGGGAAGCUUAAUGAGGAUGCCGCCAGGAGGUAUUUCCACCAAUUGAUCAGUGCUAUUGACUAUUGCCACAGCAGGGGCGUUUAUCACCGUGAUCUGAAGCCUGAAAAUCUACUCCUGGAUGAGAAUGAAAACCUAAAAGUCUCGGAUUUUGGUUUGAGUGCCCUGGCUGAUUGCGCAAGGCAGGAUGGUCUCCUCCACACCACAUGUGGAACUCCAGCUUAUGUUGCCCCUGAAGUGCUUAGCAGGAAAGGUUAUGAUGGUGCAAAAGCAGAUGUAUGGUCCAGUGGAGUAAUUCUGUUUGUGCUUGUGGCUGGUUACCUUCCCUUUCAUGAGGCAAAUCUCAUAGAGAUGUAUAGAAGGAUCUCCAAAGCGGACUUUAAAUGCCCUCGGUAUUUUUCCGCUGAGUUGAAGGAUCUAUUACAUAAAAUCCUUGAUCCAGAUCCCAGUACUAGGAUUCCAAUCUCUAGGAUAAAGAGAAGUGCUUGGUACAGAAGACCAGUUGAGGUAAAUGCAAAGAAAACUGAGCCUGAAGCAACGCACAACACCUUUUCAGCUGAAGCUGCGUCAUCAGGCUCAACAGGAUGCAGCACUUCUGAGGGAAAUCAAGGGUCGUUAAGCCUCCCGAACCUGAAUGCAUUUGACAUCAUCUCUCUGUCAACAGGGUUCAAUCUAUCUGGGUUUUUUGAGGAGGAGUAUGCUCGCAGGGAAGAACGAUUUACCACUAGGCAGCCUGUAACAAUAGUACUUGCAAAGUUGAAGGAACUGGCCAAACGCUUGAAGCUAAAAAUUAAGAAGAAAGAAAAUGGAGUCCUGAAGUUGGCUGCUCCAAAGGAAGGAAAGAAGGGGUUUCUUGAGCUUGAUGCCGAGAUUUUUGAGGUAGCCCCUUCUUUUCUCCUAGUUGAGUUGAAAAAGACUAAUGGAGACACUUUGGAGUAUCAAAAGCUGGUGAAAGAGGAAGUAAGGCCAGCACUCAAGGAUAUUGUAUGGGUAUGGCAAGGUGAUCAGCAGCAGCGGUCAGAGCCGAUUCUGCAAGGGGAGCAGCAUCACUCACCGUCGCCAACACAGCAGCCACAUGAUGAGUUGCAACCACCAUUGCAACAGCAAGAGGGACAGGAUCAGUUGCACCCACCUUUACAACCACAGGAGCAGCAGGACUUGCAGGAACAACCACCAUUGCCACCACAGAAUGGCUUCAAACACCAAGAUUGACAUGAUAGCAGUACCGGAUGAAAGUACCUCGUGUGUGUUUCUCUGUACUGCUAAUUCCAUACUCUUUGCAACCAUGAUUUAUAGACAGUCUUUUUUCCUCCUGAAUUGUAAAGCUUGUGUGUAUAACAUAAGUGAAUGUAUAGUUUCAGUUUUGCAUACUAUAGGGGGAAAUAAACUCUCGAUUCCAUUUUUCAACCUUUUUGAAAUAAAAUGAUUAUUGACCAGCACCAU